GGGCGUGUAGCUCAGAUGGUAGAGCACUUGACUUUUAAUCAAGUUGUCCGGGGUUCGAUUCCCCGCACGCUCA
RNAcentral lists this transfer RNA (73 nucleotides) under Candidatus Dorea intestinavium. RNAcentral's name for it is "tRNA-Lys". It matches the Rfam family "tRNA". Rfam says of the family: Transfer RNA (tRNA) molecules are approximately 80 nucleotides in length. Their secondary structure includes four short double-helical elements and three loops (D, anti-codon, and T loops). Lineage: Bacteria; Bacillati; Bacillota; Clostridia; Lachnospirales; Lachnospiraceae. The record is from RNAcentral.